CAGCAGCCACGGUAAUACGAAGGGUGCAAGCGUUAAUCGGAAUUACUGGGCGUAAAGCGCGCGUAGGUGGUUCAUUAAGUUGGAUGUGAAAGCCCUGGGCUCAACCUGGGAACUGCAUCCAAAACUGGUGAGCUAGAGUACGGUAGAGGGUAGUGGAAUUUCCUGUGUAGCGGUGAAAUGCGUAGAUAUAGGAAGGAACACCAGUGGCGAAGGCGACUACCUGGACUGAUACUGACACUGAGGUGCGAAAGCGUGGGGAGCAAACAGGAUUAGAUACCCCCGUAGUCCCUGUCUCUUAUAC
This 301-nucleotide ribosomal RNA is filed under the name uncultured bacterium. Its description in RNAcentral is "partial 16S ribosomal RNA". It matches the Rfam family "Bacterial small subunit ribosomal RNA", at positions 509 to 807 of the family's 1533-position model. The record is from RNAcentral.